This 66-nucleotide transfer RNA is filed under the name Torleya grandiforceps. RNAcentral describes it as "tRNA-Ile". Lineage: Eukaryota; Metazoa; Arthropoda; Insecta; Ephemeroptera; Ephemerellidae. The record is from RNAcentral.
GUCGUUUAAGUCGAAGUGGAGACAUCAGGAUGAUACCCUGAAGGUGGAAAAAAUUUCCAAGCGGUA